This 30-nucleotide non-coding RNA is filed under the name Rattus norvegicus (Norway rat). The record is from RNAcentral. Lineage: Eukaryota; Metazoa; Chordata; Mammalia; Rodentia; Muridae.
UUGAAGAGUUGCCCUUUCCAGAAUGUUCCA